GCUCCCUUUAGCUCAGCGUUGGUCUUAUGAGGCAAAGGUCGCGAGUUCAAACCUCGCUGGGAGCA
This 65-nucleotide transfer RNA is filed under the name Selaginella moellendorffii. It matches the Rfam family "tRNA". Rfam says of the family: Transfer RNA (tRNA) molecules are approximately 80 nucleotides in length. Their secondary structure includes four short double-helical elements and three loops (D, anti-codon, and T loops). Lineage: Eukaryota; Viridiplantae; Streptophyta; Lycopodiopsida; Selaginellales; Selaginellaceae. The record is from Rfam by way of RNAcentral.